Non-coding RNA from Coturnix japonica (Japanese quail), 1805 nucleotides. The record is from RefSeq and is a predicted model, not a curated record. NCBI's taxonomy places the organism in Eukaryota, Metazoa, Chordata, Aves, Galliformes, Phasianidae.
CUAUACUUGAAAUGCUGCAAACAUAAUUAAUGUUGAUUAACUGCUCCAAUGUUACAGUACAGUAGCAUCUUCUUGUAUACAACCAUAAAGUUCUGCCUUGGGUUGCAAAUUCCUCUCUUUCUGCUAAAGUCUUAUUUUAUACACUAGGCUAAGAUCAAGGAUCAUGGAAAGAUUUGAUACCAUCUGUGCUGGAUGUUAGAGCAUCAUAUAUUUUCAGUGGGUCCAGGAGUAUAUGAUCUACAUCGCAUUUUGCAUCCUACUGAAUCUACAGGAUUGUAGAUCGGAUUUGUGUAGGCAGGGCAUGUUCCUGCUAUGUUCUUGCAGAAGGUUGUGGUCCUAUUUUGACUUAGAUUUCACUUCCAUCUCAUUGUGAAAGCCUCACAAAUUUGGAACUCUUUUGCCCCAGGUCAGGAGAAGAUUGGCAUUAUCAGUAUUGAGGCAAUGUGAGUUCGCUAGUGAUUUUGAAGUAUAAACCAUGAAUGUGCUUAUGAAGACAGAAUGAGAAGGAGCAGCAUGAGAUGAAGAUGCCCUAAGUAGGCAUGAGCUCCUGCUUGAAACACAAAUUGCAUGGAGGUAUUCCACCACUACUUCUACUUCUGUCUUUUGUUGAUGGAGAUGGAUUCAACAGGAGGUGCAUACUCACCUGGAAGCUGUUAUCUAGAGAUGAAGGACGUGAUCCAGGAAGUUUUGAACAUCAAAUACUUCAUGUUUUUGAACAGAUUGCUAAUUGUAUUCCAAACCUGAAUCACCUUCUGAAGACCUGCAGAAAAGGAAGUGGAAGAAUUCGAAGUGUUCUAAUUUGAGAGGAGGUUAUAGUACCAUAUUAUUAAGUUCAAACUGCUUCUUGCCUCAAAUCAAGAAGAAAACCACUCUCUUUUUGACUAAAGCCAGGUACUAUGUGUGAUCUGUGGCUCUUCUGAACUUCUGGCUUUGGCUGUUUGGAAAAUAUUGGGUCUUUUUGAAUCCAGCUAUGUGCUAAACAGAGGGCUCUGUGGACAAUCAAGUGGCAAGAUGCACAACCCAGUGUUUGUAGUGAAAGCAUAUACCAGGUAGCAUUUCUGUCAUCUUUCCUGCUUUGGCUUUUUUAUAUUUGUAUAAUUAUUUAGGGCAGAUGAAAUGCCACAGUGCACAUGACUGAAAUGUGUGAAAACUUAAUUAACAGAAUAAUUACACAGUAGAAAUGUGAUCUUCUCUCAGUGAAAGCUAGCAGGAAAUUUGGGCCCUAUGGAGUAUGAGUCCAAAUAUUUAGUCGGUGGAAAAGCCAUUAGUCAGAAUGAGGCUGUAUCUCCUGGAAAGAGUUAAUAGGGUUCCUGACUUCAGAGAACACAAUAUGCCUUAAAUACCCUUCUCAUGGCUUCCCAGGCAUGCUGCAAAUGAAUAUGUGAUUUUGACAAGCUACCUGGGUAAAUCUGCAUAGCUCAAUUAACUUCAGUUGAUUUAUAUCAGUUACACCAACAGAAGAUCUGGACAGAACUUAAUAGCAUCUGUACAUCUAAUAGCCCAUCACAGUGUAUGAAAAUUGGGCAUAAUUCUCCUCAGUCAUCCCUUUGCAGCCAGAAUGAAUAGCAGGAAGAUUUAUUCUUUAUUAAAUGAAUUCCUAUUCUACAGAAUUGAAUCUACACUGCUUCCCAUGAAUUUCUACCUUGCAAAUCUUGUGUUUUUUCCUAAAAACCAUAGGUUUUCUGAGAAAAUAUUAAGAUAAAUCAGUAGAAUUUUAUUGAUAUCUGGUAAGAGACACAUUGCUUAAUUGUUUUACUCAUAUCAGUGUAAAUUUGCAUCAGGUUAGAAAUUGAUCACCUAUUUUU